AGUGAACGCUGGCGGUAGGCCUAACACAUGCAAGUCGAACGGCAGCACAGUAAGAGCUUGCUCUUACGGGUGGCGAGUGGCGGACGUGUGAGGAAUACAUCGGACUCUACUUUUUCGUGGGGGAUAACGUAGGGAAACUUACUCUAAUACCGCAUACGACCUACGGUUGAAAGCAGGGGAUCUUCGGACCUUGCGCGAUUGAAUGAGCCGAUGUCGGAUUAGCUAGUUGGCGGGGUAAAGGCCCACCAAGGCGACGAUCCGUAGCUGGUCUGAGAGGAUGAUCAGCCACACUGGAGCUGAGACACGGUCCAGACUCCUACGAGAGGCAGCAGUGGGGAAUAUUGGACAAUGGGCGCAAGCCUGGUACAGCCAUACCGCGUGGGUGAAGAAGGCCUUCGGGUUGUAAAGCCCUUUUGUUGGGAAAGAAAAGCAGCAGGUUAAUACCCAGCUGUUCUGACGGUACCCAAAGAAUAAGCACCGGCUAACUUCGUG
Molecule: ribosomal RNA, 492 nt
Filed under: uncultured bacterium
Lineage: Bacteria
Description: partial 16S ribosomal RNA
Rfam family: Bacterial small subunit ribosomal RNA
Source: RNAcentral